GCGAGUGAAGCGGCAAAAGCUCAAAUUUGAAAUCUGGCACCUUCGGUGUCCGAGUUGUAAUUUGAAGAAGGUAACUUUGGAGUUGGCUCUUGUCUAUGUUCCUUGGAACAGGACGUCACAGAGGGUGAGAAUCCCGUGCGAUGAGAUGCCCAAUUCUAUGUAAAGUGCUUUCGAAGAGUCGAGUUGUUUGGGAAUGCAGCUCUAAGUGGGUGGUAAAUUCCAUCUAAAGCUAAAUAUUGGCGAGAGACCGAUAGCGAACAAGUACAGUGAUGGAAAGAUGAAAAGAACUUUGAAAAGAGAGUGAAAAAGUACGUGAAAUUGUUGAAAGGGAAGGGCUUGAGAUCAGACUUGGUAUUUUGCGAUCCUUUCCUUCUUGGUUGGGUUCCUCGCAGCUUACUGGGCCAGCAUCGGUUUGGAUGGUAGGAUAAUGACUAAGGAAUGUGGCUCUACUUCGGUGGAGUGUUAUAGCCUUGGUUGAUACUGCCUGUCUAGACCGAGGACUGCGUCUUUGACUAGGAUGUUGGCAUAAUGAUCUUAAGCCACCC
RNAcentral lists this ribosomal RNA (545 nucleotides) under Debaryomyces fabryi. RNAcentral describes it as "eukaryotic LSU rRNA". It matches the Rfam family "Eukaryotic large subunit ribosomal RNA", at positions 89 to 650 of the family's 3401-position model. The record is from RNAcentral. Lineage: Eukaryota; Fungi; Ascomycota; Pichiomycetes; Serinales; Debaryomycetaceae.